UUUUAUACUGUAGAUAUGAAUAAAGUCUCAUAUUA
RNAcentral lists this transfer RNA (35 nucleotides) under Hemiclepsis marginata. Its description in RNAcentral is "partial tRNA-Leu". The record is from RNAcentral. Lineage: Eukaryota; Metazoa; Annelida; Clitellata; Rhynchobdellida; Glossiphoniidae.